This 253-nucleotide ribosomal RNA is filed under the name uncultured bacterium. RNAcentral's name for it is "partial 16S ribosomal RNA". It matches the Rfam family "Bacterial small subunit ribosomal RNA", at positions 524 to 776 of the family's 1533-position model. The record is from RNAcentral.
UACGUAGGGACCAAGCGUUGUUCGGAUUUACUGGGCGUAAAGGGCGCGUAGGCGGCUUGACAAGUCACUUGUGAAAUCUCCGGGCUUAACUCGGAACGGCCAAGUGAAACUGUCAUGCUAGAGUGCAGAAGGGGCAAUCGGAAUUCUUGGUGUAGCGGUGAAAUGCGUAGAUAUCAGGAGGAACACCAAUGGCGAAGGCAGCUCGCUGGAACGGUACUGACGCUGAGGCGCGAAAGCGUGGGGAGCGAACAGG